RNAcentral lists this long non-coding RNA (276 nucleotides) under Homo sapiens (human). RNAcentral describes it as "non-protein coding lnc-HSPB3-2:1". Lineage: Eukaryota; Metazoa; Chordata; Mammalia; Primates; Hominidae. The record is from RNAcentral.
AUGAAUAGAAAGUCACCAUUUGAAAAGCAUUGCAAUAAGAAGUAAAUGUGCUGCCGCAGUGGCGCCAAGGCCUACCAACUUCAGAAGUUGAUCUGCUGCAAAUGCGGCCACACUGACAAGAGCAAGAGAAAGUAUAACUUGAGUGCCAGGGCUGAAAGAUGAAAUGCCACCAGUACUGGUCAAAUGAAGCACUUAAAAAUUGUACAAUUCAGGAUGAAUUCUGUGAAGGAACAACACCUAAACCCAAGAAGGCAGCUGUUGCAGCAUCCAGUUUAG